AUUGACGCUGGCGGCAGGCUACACAUGCAAGUCGAGCGGUAGAGAGAAGCUUGCUUCUCUUGAGAGCGGCGGACGGGUGAGUAAAGCCUAGGAAUCUGCCUGGUAGUGGGGGAUAACGUUCGGAAACGGACGCUAAUACCGCAUACGUCCUACGGGAGAAAGCAGGGGACCUUCGGGCCUUGCGCUAUCAGAUGAGCCUAGGUCGGAUUAGCUAGUUGGUGAGGUAAUGGCUCACCAAGGCGACGAUCCGUAACUGGUCUGAGAGGAUGAUCAGUCACACUGGAACUGAGACACGGUCCAGACUCCUACGGGAGGCAGCAGUGGGGAAUAUUGGACAAUGGGCGAAAGCCUGAUCCAGCCAUGCCGCGUGUGUGAAGAAGGUCUUCGGAUUGUAAAGCACUUUAAGUUGGGAGGAAGGGCAUUAACCUAAUACGUUAGUGUUUUGACGUUACCGACAGAAUAAGCACCGGCUAACUCUGUGCCAGCAGCCGCGGUAAUACAGAGGGUGCAAGCGUUAAUCGGAAUUACUGGGCGUAAAGCGCGCGUAGGUGGUUUGUUAAGUUGGAUGUGAAAUCCCCGGGCUCAACCUGGGGAACUGCAUUCAAAACUGACUGACUAGAGUAUGGUAGAGGGUGAUGGAAUUUUCCUGUGUAGCGGUGAAAUGCGUAGAUAUAGGGAAGGAACACCAGUGGCGAAGGCGACCAUCUGGACUAAUACUGACACUGAGGUGCGAAAGCGUGGGAGCAAACAGG
RNAcentral lists this ribosomal RNA (752 nucleotides) under uncultured Pseudomonas sp. RNAcentral describes it as "bacterial SSU rRNA". It matches the Rfam family "Bacterial small subunit ribosomal RNA", at positions 28 to 776 of the family's 1533-position model. The record is from RNAcentral. Lineage: Bacteria; Pseudomonadati; Pseudomonadota; Gammaproteobacteria; Pseudomonadales; Pseudomonadaceae.